RNAcentral lists this ribosomal RNA (500 nucleotides) under uncultured bacterium. RNAcentral's name for it is "partial 16S ribosomal RNA". It matches the Rfam family "Bacterial small subunit ribosomal RNA", at positions 30 to 523 of the family's 1533-position model. The record is from RNAcentral.
AUUGAACGCUGGCGGCAUGCUUUACACAUGCAAGUCGAACGGUAACAGGGUGCUUGCACCGCUGACGAGUGGCGAACGGGUGAGUAAUGCGUCGGAACGUGCCGAGUAGUGGGGGAUAACGCAGCGAAAGGUGUGCUAAUACCGCAUACGUACUGAGGUAGAAAGUGGGGGACCGUCGGGCCUCACGCUAUUCGAGCGGCCGACGUCUGAUUAGCUAGUAGGUGAGGUAAAGGCUCACCUAGGCGACGAUCAGUAGCGGGUCUGAGAGGAUGAUCCGCCACACUGGGACUGAGACACGGCCCAGACUCCUACGGGAGGCAGCAGUGGGGAAUUUUGGACAAUGGGCGAAAGCCUGAUCCGGCCAUGCCGCGUGUCUGAAGAAGGCCUUCGGGUUGUAAAGGACUUUUGUCAGGGAGGAAAUCCCUAGUGCUAAUAACACUGGGGGAUGACAGUACCUGAAGAAUAAGCACCGGCUAACUACGUGCCAGCCGCCGCCGUAA